AUUGAACGCUGGCGGCAGGCCUAACACAUGCAAGUCGGACGGUAGCACAGAGGAGCUUGCUCCUCGGGUGACGAGUGGCGGACGGGUGAGUAAUGUCUGGGGAUCUGCCCGAUAGAGGGGGAUAACCACUGGAAACGGUGGCUAAUACCGCAUAACGUCGCAAGACCAAAGAGGGGGACCUUCGGGCCUCUCACUAUCGGAUGAACCCAGAUGGGAUUAGCUAGUAGGCGGGGUAAUGGCCCACCUAGCCGACGAUCCCUAGCUGGUCUGAUAGGAUGACCAGCCACACUGGAACGGGGAGACGGUCGAUGCGCGGACGGCAGGCAGUAGUGGGGGAAAUUGCACAAUGGGCGCAAGCCUGAUGACGCGAUGCCGGGUGUAGUGAGGAGGCCGUUGGGUUGUAAAGUACAGUCAGCGGGGAGGAAGGCUGUGGGAGUAAUAGCCGUGCCGCGUGGCGUUCCCCGCAGUGGAAGCGCCGGCUAACUCCGUCACAGACGCAGCGGUAA
This 506-nucleotide ribosomal RNA is filed under the name uncultured bacterium. RNAcentral's name for it is "partial 16S ribosomal RNA". It matches the Rfam family "Bacterial small subunit ribosomal RNA", at positions 29 to 523 of the family's 1533-position model. The record is from RNAcentral.